This 485-nucleotide ribosomal RNA is filed under the name uncultured bacterium. RNAcentral's name for it is "bacterial SSU rRNA". It matches the Rfam family "Bacterial small subunit ribosomal RNA", at positions 1 to 501 of the family's 1533-position model. The record is from RNAcentral.
GCCCUUAGAGUUUGAUCCUGGCUCAGGAUGAACGCUGGCGGCGUGCUUAACACAUGCAAGUCGAACGGGAUCCAUCAAGCUUGCUUGGUGGUGAGAGUGGCGAACGGGUGAGUAAUGCGUGACCGACCUGCCCCAUACACCGGAAUAGCUCCUGGAAACGGGUGGUAAUGCCGGAUGCUCCAGUUGAUCGCAUGGUCUUCUGGGAAAGCUUUCGCGGUAUGGGAUGGGGUCGCGUCCUAUCAGCUUGACGGCGGGGUAACGGCCCACCGUGGCUUCGACGGGUAGCCGGCCUGAGAGGGCGACCGGCCACAUUGGGACUGAGAUACGGCCCAGACUCCUACGGGAGGCAGCAGUGGGGAAUAUUGCACAAUGGGCGCAAGCCUGAUGCAGCGACGCCGCGUGAGGGAUGGAGGCCUUCGGGUUGUAAACCUCUUUUAUCGGGGAGCAAGCGAGAGUGAGUUACCCGUGAAUAAGCACCGGCUAUU